CUGGAAUUGAGAAGCGUUGCACUAAACAAAUAUCGCCUCUGGACUUUCAUUUAUGUGACAACCAGAACUGUCCCUUGGCGGGAUGUUACCAUUAUGAUUGAACCAGUCAGAGUCUCAGUUUGAAUCUUUUGAAGAUAAAGAUUAAGUUGAUGACAAUGAGAUCUGACUCUAGAGGCUGAUCAACAAGUAUA
This is a long non-coding RNA of Gambusia affinis (western mosquitofish), 191 nucleotides long. RefSeq lists it as uncharacterized. NCBI's taxonomy places the organism in Eukaryota, Metazoa, Chordata, Actinopteri, Cyprinodontiformes, Poeciliidae. The record is from RefSeq and is a predicted model, not a curated record. The transcript is spliced from 3 exons.